Molecule: transfer RNA, 72 nt
Filed under: Camelus bactrianus (Bactrian camel)
Lineage: Eukaryota; Metazoa; Chordata; Mammalia; Artiodactyla; Camelidae
Also listed under: 2 other names
Rfam family: tRNA
About the family: Transfer RNA (tRNA) molecules are approximately 80 nucleotides in length. Their secondary structure includes four short double-helical elements and three loops (D, anti-codon, and T loops).
Source: Rfam by way of RNAcentral
GAGGGUAUAGCUCAGUGGUAGAGUGCAUGCCUAGCAUGCAUAAGGUCCUGGGGUCAAUCCUCCAUACCUCCA